This 1275-nucleotide ribosomal RNA is filed under the name Triticum aestivum (bread wheat). Its description in RNAcentral is "partial small subunit ribosomal RNA". Lineage: Eukaryota; Viridiplantae; Streptophyta; Magnoliopsida; Poales; Poaceae. The record is from RNAcentral.
AUGGCCGGCCGGCGCGAGCCCCCCCUGAUGCGCACCGGCUUGGGCAGCGGGCAGCCGCCGUCCCGCGGGUCCCGCAUCGCGGCGGCGGUGGCCGUCGGCGUUACUCUCGGCUGCGUCUGCGCGUUCCUCUACCCCGACGGCCUCAUCUCCCGCUCCACCGACUCCGCCCUCCACUGGCGUCGCCGGGCUGACUCAGUUACUUGUGAGACAUCGGAGGAAGUUACCAACCUACAGUCACAAUUGGCAUCAUUGGAGAGAAAAAAUGCUGACUUCAGGAAGCAGAUCAAUGAACUCUCGGUGAAGCUUCAAAUGGCUGGGCAAGGAAAAAACCAGGCUUUGUACAGUGCUGGUCCUUUUGGUACCGUGAAGGCUCUUAGAACAAAUCCAACAGUCAUGCCUGAUGAAUCCACCAAUCCCAGACUGGCCAAGAUAUUGCAACAGGUUGCUGUAAAGAAAGAAAUCAUCGUUGCAGUGGCAAACUCUAACGUGAAACAGACGCUUGAGAUGUGGUUUACUAAUAUCAAAAGAGUUGGAAUCACAAAUUACUUGGUUGUUGCAUUAGAUGACAGCAUAGAGAACUUCUGCAAGUCCAAAGAUGUCCCAGUUUAUCGGCGGGAUCCUGAUGAAGGCAUUGACAGCAUAGGGAAGACAGGUGGAAACCAUGCUGUUUCUGCCCUGAAGUUCCGCAUUUUGAGGGAAUUCUUGCAGCUUGGGUACAGUGUUCUCCUCUCCGAUAUUGAUAUCAUGUUCUUCCAAAAUCCCUUUGAUCAUCUUUACAGAGAUUCUGAUAUAGAGUCCAUGAGUGAUGGCCAUGACAAUAUGACAGCCUAUGGUUUCAAUGAUGUGUUUGAUGAGCCUUCAAUGGGCUGGGCAAGAUACGCACACACGAUGCGCAUAUGGGUUUUUAAUUCUGGAUUUUUCUUCAUAAGGCCAACAAUCCCUUCAAUUGAGCUCUUGGAUAGGGUAGCUGGUCGCCUUUCUCGUGAACCCAAAUCAUGGGACCAGGCUGUUUUUAACGAGGAACUCUUUUUCCCCUCGCAUCCUGGUUAUGUAGGUCUACAUGCAUCCAAAAGAACCAUGGAUAUAUAUCUCUUUAUGAACAGCAAAGUUCUCUUCAAGACUGUGAGGAAAAGUGCUCAACUUCGGAAGUUGAAGCCAGUGAUUGUGCAUUUGAACUACCAUCCUGAUAAGGAGGCGCGCAUGAAAGCAGUGAUUGAAUUUUAUGUUCAUGGAAAGCAGAAUGCACUUGAUCAUUUCCCUGAUGGAUCAGAAUGA